UGUCAUCACUUCAUUUUUUUGCGCCUGCGCAUAAAUCUGAGAAGCGUGAGUUUUCAUCAUUGUUUAUCUAGACAUAGGAUAGGUUGUGUGAAAAUAUUACUGAUGUUUAACGUUAAAAAUGGACCAAAAGAUUAAUGCUAAACAACAUUUGACAUGUUUGAACGGACGUAAAUAGAUUAUUUACUAGGUUUUUUUAGCUUUUCGGCGUGAUUUUACACUCCCCCCACCACGUUUUGUGGGAGCAUAAUGAACGCUAAGUACUUGGUGUUAUUUGGACAUAAAUUAUGAACUUUGUCAAAAGAAACCACAUUUGUUCCGGACCUGGGAUGCCUUCCGGACCUGGGAUGCCUGCCUUCUGAUGGAGAUAAUCAAAGGCUCUCAGAAGGCGCCAGAACGUUGAAUGAUGACUUUGCAGACCAUGGCUGAAAAACAGUAGCGCAUUUGGCUGAAUGACAGCACCAUGGCAACAACAACAGGACGCCAGUGUGGGUUUCCUGUGUACUGAGAGUGUCUUCUCAGCCAAUCAGUGACUAGCUCUUAUAUGAGUACUGUAAUACCAACAUCAUAAUAUCAGACUUAUCAACAUUAGUAGUGGUCAAUGUAUGUAUAUGUUUACAUGUGUUUAUAUAUAUGUAUGUGGGUAUAUGGUAGUGUGUCCAUACAUUUGCAUAUCAUGUAUAGUCCUAUGUGUGUGGUUAUGGUUUACUCAGCUAGUGCUGCUGCUCUGUGGGGGAGGGGUUAAGGGGGCCUGGGUUUCAGGUCUGAGGAGCAGUGUCAGAGUAGCUGGGUCUGUCAGUAACAGUAUCAGAGUAGCUGGGUCUGUCAGUAACAGUAUCAGAGUAGCUGGGUCUGUCAGUAACAGUAUCAGAGUAGCUGGGUCUGUCAGUAACAGUAUCAGAGUAGUUGGGUCUGUCAGUAACAGUAUCAGAGUAGCUGGGUCUGUCAGUAACAGUAUCAGAGUAGCUGGGUCUGUCAGUAACAGUAUCAGAGUAGCUGGGUCUGUCAGUAACAGUAUCAGAGCAGCUGGGUCUGUCAGUAACAGUAUCAGAGUAGCUGGGGUCUGUCAUUUACAUUUACAUUUUAGUCAUUUAGCAGACGCUCUUAUCCAGAGCGACUUACAGUAGUGAAUGCAUACAUUUCAUCCAUUUCAUUUCAUGCAUUUUUUCUACUACCC
RNAcentral lists this long non-coding RNA (1174 nucleotides) under Salmo salar (Atlantic salmon). Its description in RNAcentral is "lncRNA (ENSSSAG00000091549.1)". Lineage: Eukaryota; Metazoa; Chordata; Actinopteri; Salmoniformes; Salmonidae. The record is from RNAcentral.